Molecule: ribosomal RNA, 468 nt
Filed under: uncultured bacterium
Lineage: Bacteria
Description: bacterial SSU rRNA
Rfam family: Bacterial small subunit ribosomal RNA
Source: RNAcentral
CCUGGUUCAGGACUAAGGCUGGCGGUAUGCCUUCCUUUAGAGAGUCGAACGAGUUUCCGGGCUUGCUCGGAAGCUAGUGGCGAACGGCUGAGUAACGCGUAGGUGACCUCCCCCGAAGUGUGGAAUAACUGCCCGAAAGGGUAGCUAAUACCGCAUGUCGAGCUCGCUUCAUUGCGAUCUCGAAAGCAGCAAUGCGCUUUGGGCGGGGCCUGCGUUCGAUUAGUUAGUUGGUGAGGUAAUGGCCCACCAAGGCGACAAUCGAUAGGUGGUCUGAGAGGACGAUCACCCAGACUGGGACUGAGACACGGCCCAAACUCCUACGGGAGGCAGCAGUCGGGAAUUUUGCGCAUUGGGGGAAACCCUGACGCAGCAAUACCGCGUGCGGGAUGAAGGCCUUCGGGUCGUAAACCGCUUUUCUCGGGGACGAUAAUGACGGUACCCGUGGAAUAAGCCACGGCUAACUACGUG